GACGAACGCUGGCGGCGUGCUUAACACAUGCAAGUCGAACGAAGAGCGACGGAAGCUUGCUUCUAUCAAUCUUAGUGGCGAACGGGUGAGUAACGCGUAAUCAACCUGCCCUUCAGAGGGGGACAACAGUUGGAAACGACUGCUAAUACCGCAUACGAUCUAAUCUCGGCAUCGAGGAUGGAUGAAAGGUGGCCUCUACAUGUAAGCUAUCACUGAAGGAGGGGAUUGCGUCUGAUUAGCUAGUUGGAGGGGUAACGGCCCACCAAGGCGAUGAUCAGUAGACGGUCUGAGAGGAGGGACGGGCAAAUUGGGACUGAGACACGGCCCAGACUCCUACGGGAGGCAGCAGGGGGGAAUCUUCCGCAAUGGACGAAAGUCUGACGGAGCAACGCCGCGUGAGUGAUGACGGCCUUCGGGUUGUAAAGCUCUGUUAAUCGGGACGAAAGGCCUUCUUGCGAAUAGUGAGAAGGAUUGACGGUACCGGAAUAGAAAGCCACGGCUAACUACGUG
RNAcentral lists this ribosomal RNA (510 nucleotides) under uncultured bacterium. Its description in RNAcentral is "partial 16S ribosomal RNA". It matches the Rfam family "Bacterial small subunit ribosomal RNA", at positions 28 to 507 of the family's 1533-position model. The record is from RNAcentral.